GACGAACGCUGGCGGCGCGCCUAACACAUGCAAGUCGAACGAGCGAGAGGAGGUUUACUUUCUCAAGCGAGUGGCGAACGGGUGAGUAACGCGUGAGGAACCUGCCUCAAAGAGGGGGACAACAGUUGGAAACGACUGCUAAUACCGCAUAAGCCCACGACCCGGCAUCGGGUAGAGGGAAAAGGAGCAAUCCGCUCUGAGAUGGCCUCGCGUCCGAUUAGCUAGUUGGUGAGGUAAUGGCCCACCAAGGCGACGAUCGGUAGCCGGACUGAGAGGUUGAACGGCCACAUUGGGACUGAGACACGGCCCAGACUCCUACGGGAGGCAGCAGUGGGGAAUAUUGCACAAUGGGGGAAACCCUGAUGCAGCGACGCCGCGUGGAGGAAGAAGGUCUUCGGAUUGUAAACUCCUGUUGUGGAGGAAGAUAAUGACGGUACUCAACAAGGAAGUGACGGCUAACUACGUG
This 466-nucleotide ribosomal RNA is filed under the name uncultured bacterium. Its description in RNAcentral is "partial 16S ribosomal RNA". It matches the Rfam family "Bacterial small subunit ribosomal RNA", at positions 28 to 507 of the family's 1533-position model. The record is from RNAcentral.